Molecule: long non-coding RNA, 985 nt
Organism: Mugil cephalus (flathead mullet)
Lineage: Eukaryota; Metazoa; Chordata; Actinopteri; Mugiliformes; Mugilidae
Exons: 2
Source: RefSeq, a predicted model, not a curated record
AACAGGACCCACAUGAACGGACGGCCUCAAUCACCUGAAACAGAGCUGUGCUCCUCCAACUCCUCCACUGGUUGUUGAACAGGCUGCUCCUCAAGUACAGUUUCUGUGACUGAGGUUGUUGUGAAGUGUGAACACUCAGUAAACUCUAUACAUUCUCGAAGUCUGCUGCCCCUGCUUCUUCUUCUCUGUAUUUUUGUGUAGGGUCAGAGGUCAGUGGUUCGAGACCCGUCGGCGUAGAGAUGGAGUCGAGCUUCAAAACGACAGAGUAUAAAUCUGGAUAUAAUUUACGUAUGUUUUGCCGUGUAUGGCGAAUUGUUAUGAAUAACUUGUAGAUGAAUACUGACUUCCGACCGUUUUCAUCGUUGUUUUAACUGGGCGUCGAACCGGUGAACCUCACAUCACCAACGGUUUCAACACGGUUGACAGUUCCGCAUUAACGGCAGACGGAUGCCCCGCCCCCUCCAAUCAAGGCGCAGAAGCAGUUCCAAUAGUUUCCAAACCCGGAAGACGGUCAGCCAAUCAGAGGGCCGCUGUGGUUCCAAUAUGGAGAAUCAGACUUUGUGGUGACUUCUGUCAUCCAAUCAGAGGCCGGAUUUGUUCCAAUAUUCCUCCAGGACCCUCCCCUGUCACUGGAACCUGCUGAACGGUGCGGACGGUCAGUGUUGGUUCCACCACCUCCACCAGAGGUGCUGUCACACUCACAUCCUCAACUACCUCCAUUUCUGCUGCUGCUUUGUCCAGUGUGGGCUAAAGAAGAUCAAGGAGACAGACACAGAGACGUAAAGAGGACUGGUAGGAGCCUGAACUACUUUCCUGCUGCAAAAGAACAGGACCCACAUGAACGGACGGCCUCAAUCACCUGAAACAGAGCUGUGCUCCUCCAACUCCUCCACUGGUUGUUAAACAGGCUGCUCCUCAAGUACAGUUUCUGUGACUGAGGUUGUUGUGAAGUGUGAACACUCAGUAAACUCUAUACAUUCUCGAA